This 268-nucleotide unclassified non-coding RNA is filed under the name plant metagenome. RNAcentral describes it as "partial contains small subunit ribosomal RNA, internal transcribed spacer 1, and 5.8S ribosomal RNA". The record is from RNAcentral.
UUUCCGUAGGUGAACCUGCGGAAGGAUCAUUAUGAGUUGUCAUGGGGUUCGAUGCUGGCAGCCAAUUUUUGGAUGCAUGUGCUUGCCCUAACAAUCAUCUUCCAAACACCUGUGCACAUUUUUGAGGGAGUCUUGAGUUGGUUGCCGCUCUUGGGUGAUUUUCUCACAUUCCCUUAAAUCAUUAUACGCUAUUAACAAUGUUGAACGUGCUCUGUGCCGCAAGGCUAUUAAUAUAAUACAACUUUUAACAACGGAUCUCUUGGCUCUC